AGAGUUUGAUCCUGGCUCAGGAUGAACGCUAGCGGCAGGCUUAACACAUGCAAGUCGAGGGGCAUCGGGAGGGAAGCUUGCUUUCCUUGCCGGCGACCGGCGCACGGGUGAGUAACACGUAUGCAACCUGCCCUCUUCAGGGGGACAACCUUCCGAAAGGGAGGCUAAUCCCGCGUAUAUCGGUUUCGGGCAUCCGGGAUCGAGGAAAGAUUCAUCGGAAGAGGAUGGGCAUGCGGCGCAUUAGCUGGACGGCGGGGUAACGGCCCACCGUGGCGACGAUGCGUAGGGGUUCUGAGAGGAAGGUCCCCCACACUGGUACUGAGACACGGACCAGACUCCUACGGGAGGCAGCAGUGAGGAAUAUUGGUCAAUGGGAGAGAUCCUGAACCAGCCAAGCCGCGUGAGGGAAGACGGCCCUAUGGGUUGUAAACCUCUUUUGUCGGAGAACAAAACCCGGGACGUGUCCCGGACUGCGUGUAUCCGAAGAAAAAGCAUCGGCUAACUCCGUGCCAGCAGCCGCGGUAAUACGGAGGAUGCGAGCGUUAUCCGGAUUUAUUGGGUUUAAAGGGUGCGUAGGCGGUCCGUUAAGUCAGCGGUAAAAUUGCGGGGCUCAACCCCGUCGAGCCGUUGAAACUGGCAGACUUGAGUUGGCGAGAAGUACGCGGAAUGCGCGGUGUAGCGGUGAAAUGCAUAGAUAUCGCGCGGAACUCCGAUUGCGAAGGCAGCGUACCGGCGCCAGACUGACGCUGAGGCACGAAAGCGUGGGGAUCGAACAGGAUUAGAUACCCUGGUAGUCCACGCAGUAAACGAUGAAUGCUGGUUGUCCGGGUCGAAUGAGAUCUGGGCGGCGAAGCGAAAGCGAUAAGCAUUCCACCUGGGGAGUACGCCGGCAACGGUGAAACUCAAAGGAAUUGACGGGGGCCCGCACAAGCGGAGGAACAUGUGGUUUAAUUCGAUGAUACGCGAGGAACCUUACCCGGGCUCAAACGGGAGUGGAAUGGACCAGAGACGGUUCAGCCUACGGGCCGCUUCCGAGGUGCUGCAUGGUUGUCGUCAGUUCGUGCCGUGAGGUGUCGGCUUAAGUGCCAUAACGAGCGCAACCCCCGCCGGCAGUUGCUAACGGGCAAUGCCGAGGACUCUGCCGGGACUGCCGCCGCAAGGCGAGAGGAAGGCGGGGAUGACGUCAAAUCAGCACGGCCCUUACGUCCGGGGCGACACACGUGUUACAAUGGGCGGUACAGCGGGAAGCCAGGCGGCGACGCCGAGCGGAACCCGAAAGCCGUUCUCAGUUCGGAUCGGAGUCUGCAACCCGACUCCGUGAAGCUGGAUUCGCUAGUAAUCGCGCAUCAGCCAUGGCGCGGUGAAUACGUUCCCGGGCCUUGCACACACCGCCCGUCAAG
RNAcentral lists this ribosomal RNA (1400 nucleotides) under uncultured bacterium. RNAcentral's name for it is "bacterial SSU rRNA". It matches the Rfam family "Bacterial small subunit ribosomal RNA". The record is from RNAcentral.